AAUGCUGACAUAAGUAACGAUAAAGCGGGUGAAAAGCCCGCUCGCCGGAAGACCAAGGGUUCCUGUCCAACGUUAAUCGGGGCAGGGUGAGUCGACCCCUAAGGCGAGGCCGAAAGGCGUAGUCGAUGGGAAACAGGUUAAUAUUCCUGUACUUGGUGUUACUGCGAAGGGGGGACGGAGAAGGCUAUGUUGGCCGGGCGACGGUUGUCCCGGUUUAAGCGUGUAGGCUGGUUUUCCAGGCAAAUCCGGAAAAUCAAGGCUGAGGCGUGAUGACGAGGCACUACGGUGCUGAAGCAACAAAUGCCCUGCUUCCAGGAAAAGCCUCUAAGCAUCAGGUAACAUCAAAUCGUACCCCAAACCGACACAGGUGGUCAGGUAGAGAAUACCAAGGCGCUUGAGAGAACUCGGGUGAAGGAACUAGGCAAAAUGGUGCCGUAACUUCGGGAGAAGGCACGCUGAUAUGUAGG
RNAcentral lists this ribosomal RNA (467 nucleotides) under Escherichia coli. RNAcentral describes it as "partial 23S ribosomal RNA". It matches the Rfam family "Bacterial large subunit ribosomal RNA", at positions 1293 to 1762 of the family's 2925-position model. The record is from RNAcentral. Lineage: Bacteria; Pseudomonadati; Pseudomonadota; Gammaproteobacteria; Enterobacterales; Enterobacteriaceae.